RNAcentral lists this ribosomal RNA (301 nucleotides) under uncultured bacterium. Its description in RNAcentral is "partial 16S ribosomal RNA". It matches the Rfam family "Bacterial small subunit ribosomal RNA", at positions 509 to 807 of the family's 1533-position model. The record is from RNAcentral.
CAGCAGCCGCGGUAAGACAGAGGAUGCAAGCGUUAUCCGGAAUGAUUGGGCGUAAAGCGUCUGUAGGUGGCUUUUCAAGUCCGCCGUCAAAUCCCAGGGCUCAACCCUGGACAGGCGGUGGAAACUACCAAGCUGGAGUACGGUAGGGGCAGAGGGAAUUUCCAGUGGAGCGGUGAAAUGCGUUGAGAUCGAAAAGAACACCAACAGCGAAAGCACUCUGCUGGGACGACACUGACACUAAGAGACGAAAGCUAGGGGAGCAAAUGGGAUUAGAUACCCCCGUAGUCCCUGUCUCUUAUAC